Podarcis lilfordi (Lilford's wall lizard) is the source of this 77-nucleotide non-coding RNA. NCBI's taxonomy places the organism in Eukaryota, Metazoa, Chordata, Lepidosauria, Squamata, Lacertidae. The record is from the annotation of a GenBank genome assembly.
GUGUCAUGGAUAGCUCAGUUGGCUAGAGCGUGGUGCUGAUGAUGCCAGGGUUGCAGGUUCGAUCCCCAUAUGGGACA